Molecule: ribosomal RNA, 445 nt
Filed under: uncultured bacterium
Lineage: Bacteria
Description: bacterial SSU rRNA
Rfam family: Bacterial small subunit ribosomal RNA
Source: RNAcentral
AGUGAACGCUGGCGGCACGCCUAACACAUGCAAGUCGAGCGAGAACUAAACUCGGUUUAGCGGAAAGCGGCGGACGGGUGAGUAACGCGUGGGAAUUUACCAAAGAGUGGGGAACAACUGCUGGAAACGGCAGCUAAUACCGCAUACGCCCUACGGGGGAAAGGCUUCGGCCGCUCUUUGAGAAGCCCGCGUACGAUUAGUUUGUUGGUGGGGUAAUGGCCUACCAAGACUACGAUCGUUAGCUGGUCUGAGAGGACGAUCAGCCACACUGGGACUGAGACACGGCCCAGACUCCUACGGGAGGCAGCAGUGGGGAAUAUUGGACAAUGGGCGAAAGCCUGAUCCAGCGAUGCCGCGUGAGUGAAGAAGGCCCUAGGGUUGUAAAGCUCUUUCGGUGGGGAAGAUAAUGACGGUACCCACAAAAGAAGCCCCGGCUAACUCCGUG